Molecule: ribosomal RNA, 305 nt
Filed under: uncultured bacterium
Lineage: Bacteria
Description: partial 16S ribosomal RNA
Rfam family: Bacterial small subunit ribosomal RNA
Source: RNAcentral
ACAGCAGUCGCCACGGUAAUACAGAGGAUGCAAGCGUUAUUCGGAAUUACUGGGCGUAAAGCGCACGUAGGCGGCUUCGCAAGUCAGAGGUGAAAGCCUGGGGCUCAACUCCAGAAUUGCCUUUGAGACUGCGUCGCUCGAAUCCGGGAGAGGUGAGUGGAAUUCCGAGUGUAGAGGUGAAAUUCGUAGAUAUUCGGAAGAACACCAGUGGCGAAGGCGGCUCACUGGACCGGUAUUGACGCUGAGGUGCGAAAGCGUGGGGAGCAAACAGAAUUAGAGACCCCAGUAGUCCCUGUCUCUUAUAC